Molecule: long non-coding RNA, 1473 nt
Organism: Triticum urartu
Lineage: Eukaryota; Viridiplantae; Streptophyta; Magnoliopsida; Poales; Poaceae
Source: RefSeq, a predicted model, not a curated record
CCCUUGGGCCACCUUUCCCACUAAGGCCCAUCUCUCUUUCACUUAGCGCAGGCCCAUGCGCUGGUCUUCGUCUACCUGUCUGUUCGUUCAAUCUUCAGGAACACAUAGAGACUGUCAUGGCACCUCCACCUCUUCCUCUCCCUCUAGUGCUAACCACAGACAUCCUUCCGACUUUCCUCCAACACGAAAAUUAAAGAGGAAUGCAAGGAGAACUCAUUCAGGAAAUUAAAACCCAACAUUAUUGCGUUAAUUGGAUGCAUGAAGCCGUGAAACGUACACGCAUAAAACAACCAUUAAUGGCCACGUUGAGCCCCUUGAUCUGCCUGUACCGACCUCCCCUGACCCUCUAUAUAAUCUUAGGGCGUCACCCAUAUUCUCCUCAUUCGAAACCCUCUCCUUCGGGAGCAUAUACCCCUGCCCAUCGUCGUAAAUUGCUCGCCGGAGUUGCUUGACACCGCGGCUGUUCGUGGAAGUUUCCGGCGAGUUCGAGCCGGAGCACGAGUUCUUCGUUGUCCGCUUUCGGCCGGAGUUGCGCCCAACUCCGGUGACAUCUAGCAGCCACCUGAAGGCGAACCAGGAGCCGACGUCGUGUUCUGGAGAAUCACCCCGACUUCCUCUCCCUCGUUGCCGGAGAUCACCGCAUCACCUCACGUCCGAGCCGCCGCUGCCGGCCAUCUCCAUCUCCGAUAUACCGUAAAAUGAAGGAGUGACGAUAACAAGUAAAGAAUCAACUUCAAGACACAGGCAAGUUGCAAUUUGAUCAUGCCCUGACCUAUAUUUUCAUAUUAUGCAUAUAUCUUUGAAUUUAAAUACUAUGCAUGUUUUACAAAAGUUUUGCAAAAUAUUAUUACUAUCUAGAGCCUUAGGUUCAAGACUUACUAUCAUGCUUGGCCGCGCUUGCACAAAUGGGUGGGUUGAAAAUCAAACAAGUUUUAAACAAAUAAACUUGCCCUCUUUUGGGGCAAUGUUUUGUGAAAACUUUUGAAAACCAAAACUAUAUACUAUUUUACUUCUACUCCCUGGGCGGAAUGGUAUUGACGGGAGCGUCUACAAGUGAUUGCGCCCAUCGGGGUCUUGCAGUGAAUGCGCUCGACUGGGGUCUUGCACACAGGUUUUUGGUGGGGAUUGCCGUCCUGGGAAAUGAGAUCUUCCAAGUACAGUUUGAUGUAGCUUCCAGUACAGCCACAUGCUACUAUGGGCUAUGGCUUAGCUUAGUACUAACGGGAAACCCUACCCCAGGACCGCCAUCGGAGAGAGGCCUUCGUGCCGAAGUUGCGGGCGGCUUGGUGGUAUAGGGGGCUGUUACGGAAAGGCUUCGUCACAACCUCCUCCUAAUCGUACACCCAAGUGUGUAACGAUAAACGGGGUUGGUUGUGUCAUGUGGGGAACGUGUACGACCUCUGCAGAGGGUUAAACCUAAUCGAUUAGCUGUGCCCUCGGUUACGGGCAAUUUUGAGCAACUGAAGACAUGGA